GGAUCCAUAGCUCAGUGGUAGAGCAUUUUACUGCAGAUCAAGAGGUUGUCGGUUUGAUCUA
Molecule: transfer RNA, 61 nt
Filed under: Cicer arietinum (chickpea)
Lineage: Eukaryota; Viridiplantae; Streptophyta; Magnoliopsida; Fabales; Fabaceae
Rfam family: tRNA
About the family: Transfer RNA (tRNA) molecules are approximately 80 nucleotides in length. Their secondary structure includes four short double-helical elements and three loops (D, anti-codon, and T loops).
Source: Rfam by way of RNAcentral